GAUGAACGCUGGCGGCGUGCCUAAUACAUGCAAGUCGAGCGAAUGGAUUAAGAGCUUGCUCUUAUGAAGUUAGCGGCGGACGGGUGAGUAACACGUGGGUAACCUGCCCAUAAGACUGGGAUAACCCCGGGAAAACGGGGCUAAUACCGGAUAACAUUUUGAACCGCAUGGUUCGAAAUUGAAAGGCGGCUUCGGCUGUCACUUAUGGAUGGACCCGCGUCGCAUUAGCUAGUUGGUGAGGUAACGGCUCACCAAGGCAACGAUGUGUAACCGGCCUGAGAGGGUGAUCGGCCACACUGGGACUGAGACACGGCCCAGACUCCUACGGGAGGCAGCAGUAGGGAAUCUUCCGCAAUGGACGAAAGUCUGACGGAGCAACGCCGCGUGAGUGAUGAAGGCUUUCGGGUCGUAAAACUCUGUUGUUAGGGAAGAACAAGUGCUAGUUGAAUAAGCUGGCACCUUGACGGUACCUAACCAGAAAGCCACGGCUAACUACGUGCCAGCCGCCGCAGUAA
Molecule: ribosomal RNA, 515 nt
Filed under: uncultured bacterium
Lineage: Bacteria
Description: partial 16S ribosomal RNA
Rfam family: Bacterial small subunit ribosomal RNA
Source: RNAcentral